This is an RNA transcript of Bombus pyrosoma, 6663 nucleotides long. RefSeq lists it as uncharacterized. The record is from RefSeq and is a predicted model, not a curated record. The transcript is spliced from 9 exons. Lineage: Eukaryota; Metazoa; Arthropoda; Insecta; Hymenoptera; Apidae.
UUAAGACGUGGCUUUUGUCUUAAUUUAUAGACGUUAUUGAAAUUGUACAAAAUGGAAUUUAUCGAGCUAAUUAUAUUAUACACGUGUUUGUAUUAAUGUGAAAUAAUUACGUCGGCGAACCAUUGUCCUUUUCUCUGAUGUAAAACGUCAAAUGAAGUGUGUAAUGAAUACAUGUUUGCAUUGAUACCGUGGACAGAAGCGUAGAUAUAUUUAUAUCUUUCAUUGGGUAAAUUUAUAGUUUUGAGGAUAUAUAUCGUUCAAUUGGUGUACGUUCUAUCAUGUAGUAGCUGUGUCUAUUGAAAACUACGAGGAUGGUGUACUCGAGGAAACAAACUUACGGUUUCUUGCCUGUUGCAUUUUCCAUGAUGUUUUCUCAGAAGAUUAUUCGUCGCGUCCUUUUCAUCGAUCUACCAAAAUCUGUCUCAUUUAACUACAGUUUAAUUAGAAAUUAAUCAGGACCGGAAAUCAAAUCAGGGGCAUUUAACUUAAAUUUCAUUGCUUCAUUCACACUCUUCCUGAUUAUUAAAAGAAAAUAUACAUGAAAUAAGAAAUAUCGAAAAAUAAUCGAAAACGAAUUCAAAUAUUUGGAAACGUUCAAAUUUUUUGCAAUUCGAAUUAUUAAUACAACAAAUAACAAAUUUUAUGAAUUGAAAUUCCUCAGUUUGAAAAUAUGGAAAUUAUAAAACAUUAUCAUCAGUUUUAUUCGAACCAAUGUUAAAAAUAUUUUUACAUAAAACUUUAGUGUAUUUACCAUUGAAAGGUAUCGUUCCCACCUCUAUCCUUCAUUUUCUACCGUGUUUUCUAAACAGAAUCGCAGUUUCACGAAAGCGCAGUGUCGCGUUAUGCGCGCCAUAUUUAUCAUUACAUAUCGGUGGCAAAAUACGCACAGGCAUUAAUUACAUUCGUACAGACGGUAAUUUCCAUGGUAAUUCGAGCGUUUUUCGAUGCACCGAAUAUAACGUAUUCAUAUCACGCGGCCGCGUUCAUCGUGAACACGCGAUACAUAUAUCGGGGCCAUGAUGUUCGCAAUAUUUGACAAAUAUUCAUAGAAUUCUUCUUUUAAGCUUGCGGAUGGAUAGACAUUCAAAAUAUUUAUUGAACGUGCUAUAAAAAUAUGGAAUAUAUUUUUGGUCGUGCGCCACGUUUGUUUUCGGUGUCCUCUGAAUAUUCUGCGACGCGGGAACGCACGCACGCGCGCGCGCUCGCGAGCGUAAAAAUACAUCGUGCGAUAACUGCGCCUCACGAUAACAGUCGCGAAUGUUUCCCGAUCCCUCAUAACCAAACCUUCGGCCUCCCUCGAUUCGGCAAUGACAACUAACCCCGGAAAAUUCCAAAUUGUACAAGUUCCAAAGUAAACGUUACCUUUCGCUGCUUUGACAAUGUGACUAACUGGACCAUCGCAUCGUCACGAACUUUUGGUAUUACUGGGCCACGUGGACAUUCGUUUCCUACAUCGCCGUCGUACACACAGAGGAUCGUGAACAUUCGUGUAAAAUUUUAUUACAGCUACGGGUAAUUUGAUACCCGAAAUUUGGAAAUGUAUUUUUCUGGUGAACGAACAAUUUGCAUGAGUCAAGCGAGUUAAAUGGAGUGUGAGAGAUGCGUGGUUGAAAAAGCAUUCGGAUUGAGUUCAUGUCAGAAACUUUUUGACGAAACAUUGCGAAACAUGUUAUUAUUUCUUUGAUAAUUAAUGUACGUUCAAAGUUGUUCCAAAGAAAAUUCUAAGUUUUUAUCUGAACGAUCUAUACAAUCUAAAAUAUCUGUGCCAUCUUCUUGUCUUUUAAAUAUAUUUGUACCAUUAAAUUACUGAAAUAUAUAGGUAUAUAUUAAUUGUUAUAAUUUCGGAAUAAAUAGUUAUACAAAUAAAUGAAUGCACACACUUUAAGGAAUUUUAUAGUGCAAAUAUAUUUUAAAAAUGAGACAAUAUAUGACACCUGUUGUGAGAAAUUUAAGUACCAAACUAUAUAAUAAAAUAAUUCCAUCGUAGAUUGAGAAUCAUAGUGGUGUAUUGCUUGUAUACCGCUAAUCUUCAUGAAAUAGUAUUCUACGUUUAUUAUUGUAAACAAUUGAUCAUAUUUUUCCAUUUAGGUCACGAAAACGUACCGUCGACAAAGAAUAAAGUUAUAGCUUAAUCGAUUAUGAAAUUAAAGAUACGAUAUUUUUAACUCUACUAAAUACAAAUCCACAAAAUCUUGAGUAACAUCGUUAUGGUUUAUAGCUCGCUAUGUGUAAAAAUAACUCGUACCGUAGACAGUGACAAACAACUCGCUUAAUAAUCAGAAAUCUACCUUAUACGUAUAUUUCAUCAUGUCCGACGUUAAACGCACAUAAACGUUUGCAGAGAGCGCAUUACGCAUUUUACCGGACACAAUGAACCCAUAGAGUGAACGUGGCAAAGCAGCGUGACCGUCGCAGAUUGAUAAUAAUGCGCUAAAAAGCGAACCACCCUUAGCCUAUCCACCACAAGCAUUCUCCAGUCUGUGAUCUCGAUCGACCGUGAUUAAUUUAUUUCAGAGAUUACCGGCCAUUUGUACGUGCCCUUUGGCCUGCGUCAAUAAUACCGGUAAUACACUAUGAUCGUCCAGCCGUUCGGUAAUCGCACACCCGCUCGAAAUAAACGUGCUGCAUGCCGGUAGAUUUCAGCGCGGGGCAGCCGCUUGAUGGAUUUCAACGGGAACGUUUACGCCGACGAACAACGAAAUCGAUCGGAAGAAUCGCGGCAGGGCACAUUCGACGACAACGACAUCGAAAAAAUUCAGCAGCUGACAAACGAGAAGAAAAGGAAGCAAGGAACCGGCCCGAUAAGAUCGAACGAGUCGGUGAAAAACGGUGGCGAACGGGAUUUCCACCGAAAUCAGCAAUAUCGAAGGGGGAACCAGCAGAGAGAAAAUUACGCGGAAAUGUACGAACAUAGAAAAGAUUCGGGCUACCAGGGAAGCUGUCACGAUAGAAACACGAGCAAUUUCACGGGUGAAAAUAUUUGGCAACACGGAAAUCCAAAUCUGUCUUAUGAUAAUUAUGGGAACAGCGUGAUUGAAUGCGAUGCAAAUAGAGCUAAUGAUGCGUACAGGAACUGCAAAAGCGGAAUAAACAUCAGCGUUGUCUCGCGGCAGCCAACGUGUGAAAAUGUUGCAAUGGAAAAACCAGUGUACAACGUUUCUUUUAAACACUGCUAUAACAACACCAAUCAAAGAUCUGAUCAGAAACGAAGAAGAUUCUUUUCCAGGAGCAAACCAAAAGCUGGUAAAAAGAGCAAACAAAUUGCUGGAAGCCCUCAGAACUACCGUUGCACCUUUGAGAACUGUUGCGGGAACUGCGAACCCUACGCUGUGAAAAGACAGGACGACGACUGUGGCUCGUGUAAAAAGUGGCAGAACACGGAUUUCUCUUCUAAAAACGAGUGCUUCGACGAUUGUUACUGCCCUCUCAAUGUGAAUUCUCAACAACCUUGCGUAGUUUACGAAGAGAACGAGCCAAAAUGCGAUUUCCCUCCCGACGAUUGUCACACGUCCAGCAAACAGUGUCUGCAGCGCGUCCAUUUCGCAGAAACUGAAAAUUGCGCGAGAACUGAUCAUUCUUCGUGUUCGUUCUGCUCGAGAAAGUGCACACCGUCCAAAGCGAGUUUGUUCGUAGAAAUCGGCGAAAGCGUGGCAAACGUGAGCAACCUGACUUCCGCUCAAGCGUUUCAAUGCGACGACUCGAUGGGAUUAUUGAAAGACGACGCUCCGAGGAAAGAAUACAGCGCCGUAAAAAGGAACAAGUCCGACUUGUUGAGAUGUCGUAGUAAAUCGAAGAAGAGCGAGCCGAAGUGCAGUUCCAGUUGUAAAGGUCGGCCAGGUGCCGUGGAACGCACUUGUUCGGAUAGAAUAGCGAGCAUGAACAUGUAUCUUGAUGAUUAUACGAUCGAACAGAUGCCCGAGGAACCGUUCAGCCCUGAGAUGAUAGGCAUUAUGCAGUCAAACGUGAGUUUUCAGGAUCUACGUGAUUGCAAAGCGCAAACGGAAAGUGACAUGUACAUCAAGAGAAAGACAACUGGUUGUAAUCAGCAAUGCGAGACAGACGAACGUUCGUUAUUGGACGAUAUCCGAAAACAGGUACAGGAGACGUAUAAAUGUUUCGUCAAAAUGGUGAUGACGAGUAUCGGCCAGAUUGUGAAACAAUCUUCGAAAUUAAAACGUUCGAAGAAGAGCACGAAGGACCGUUCCACGUGUGGAACAUUCAUAAAAAAUUGCGAAGAAAAUACAUGUGCCAACCAAUGCAAUCAGUCGGAAAUGUACAACGAAUGCAUGUACGAAGGGACGUGUUGGCAAGGAAUAAUAGGACAGAAAUCAAACAACUGCGAUAUGCAUUGCUGUGGAAACGUCUGUUGCGCUGGAUUGCCCGAAUGUCAAACACCUAUGUGUCAAAUUAUAUUUCCCUCUAAAGUUCAACACCUGUCUUCAGAUGAUUAUUGGAAACCUAACUGCGACACGCAAGAACAGAUUCAAUCAGAGAGGGAGUGCUAUUUUGACCCUAGCAGAAACGUUCACAGAAACGUAUAUUCUCCUAACGAAGCAGCCCCUAAAGAAAUACCAUGUCCCAAACACAGUAGCGUUCGCAAAAAGGGUGGUGGCGAUAUUUCCAAUCAACAAAAAAAACAGCCGACUCUGAACAAGCGCGGUGAACCAUCGGGCGUGUAUAAUCGCGAAAAUACCAGUACGAGAAAUCAAGUAACUAAGCAACAAAAUCAGGCGACGAGUCAAUUUACUCCUCAAGACCAACAAACGGAUAGAACUAACAUACAACUAGACGUGAGCGUUCAAGCGAAUUCCAUUCGCGCGGUACUCGAUCCUACGACUGCUCCUUACACAGAAAGUAUAGAGUAUCACAAGAGAAUAAGAACCGCGAACCGAUUAGAACCGUAUGCAGAUGAAAGAAGGGUGCCUCCUCAAAGAAAAGAGUGUCCUAGGAUUCAAGAAAUAGAAUCCACAUCGCACUCUUCUUCCAAAGAAAACCUGAAAACACCAAAAAAAUCAGUUAAUUCGUCAAAAAAGAAACCUUCGCCGAACCCUGCGACGCCAAAACAGGCACCCACGUCUCUGAAUCUAAGACAACCAUUCAUCCCUGGGAGACCGGAAGUCAAUGCUAGAACAGGAGUAUCGACUCCAAAAAAAGAUGUACAAAGAGACGUAGUAAAGCAAGAAAGAAUGAGAUCAAAAUCCACGGUGAUUGGAAAAGGUGUCCAAUGUACGCUGAUCAGGGAAGUGCGUAUAAUAUGUUCAACUGUGCCGGAGGUGAUUGGUCCGGUAGCAGAUCUUUGCUCGUGCAUGCCGAAGAAAGGAAUGGCACGUCCAGAUAAACCACCAUCCAAAAUUUCUCAAAUCGGAGAAGAAAGUCCUCCUGCAACUGAUGCAACUGUGGACAUACCUGAUGCAACUGUGGACGUGCCUGAUGCAACUGUGGACGUGCCUGAUGCAACUGUGGACGUGCCUGAUGCAACUGUGGGCGUACCUGAUGCAACUGUGGAUGUACUUGAUACAACUGUGAACGCACCUGAUGCAACUGUGAACACAUCUGAUGCAACUGUGAACGCACCUGAUGUAAUUCUGAACUCACCUAAUGUAACUGUAGAACCAAAUAUUGAAGAACCUGUGGAGGAGAAUGUACCUGCGGUUGAGUCAUCUGUAGAAACGCCAUUUGUAGACGAGGAUGAAACGACCGUAGAUCCAACCGAUGGUCCUACAGACAGUGAAGCAACACAUACAGACACAUCUACGAUUGAAACAACCAUAGCAGAAUCAUCCACAGAAGAAGCACCCGCGAGAAAUCCUGAAGUAUUAGAAACUUCUAAUGUAACGCCCACUGAAACAGCCGAAGUUCCCAUACCAGAUGAAUCUACGAUAGACGAAACUGCCAUGGACACGCCAAAGAAACCUGAAGAAGAAUUGAUUGUAACGCCAAUAGUCGACAAUCGUGGAGCACCGAUCGAGUUCUCGAAAGAUUUUAACGGGAAGAAAAUGUACGUCAGCGUGCAGAUGCAAACGUCGAACACGAUUCUAACGCAGAUCUUGUCCGAGUUUCAAGUAGGCAACAAAAAGCGGCAGGUACUGAUGAGUAUUAAAUUACACUCGAACCUGGAUGGAAAUGGCGAGGAUGAACAACAAUCGUCAGGAUCGAACAGUAGCGAAGUGACGGCCGCUGAAAGACAGUCUCCGAGAUGUGACAACUACGAUCAUCAGAGACGAAUAAGACGAGUUACCGUUAGUCCAUCCGUGUACCGUCGAACGUUGCCAACGAGGGAUACAUACAAUUCAUCGACGUACGCGUCCGUCAGCCACGCGACUUAUGACAAAACUGAAACAAAUUAUUCGCCAGAGAAUGAAAACAGCACAACCAACGGGACGAAUCAUGUGUGCGGACCUUGCGGAAAGAAGAGGCGAUGAUUCAAUCAGUGUUAACGAAGCUUAUAGCCAAGAGAUACGCCGAACAUCUUUGUGAAGCUACCAGUACAAAUUAUCAUUUUGGACGAUGCUUGACCCUAAAAAGAGAUUACAGGAAAGAUAGAUAUCAGGUAUAAUCUAUCUUAUUAAACGCUCCUUCAAAGAUACAAGAAUAACAAAGAAACGGUUCUUACAAAGAAAAUUGCUAUAAAAUACAAUAAUAAUGGCUGCGAAUACCAUUUUU